RNAcentral lists this small RNA (922 nucleotides) under Pongo abelii (Sumatran orangutan). Its description in RNAcentral is "retained intron". The record is from RNAcentral. Lineage: Eukaryota; Metazoa; Chordata; Mammalia; Primates; Hominidae.
AUAGCCAAGCAAUUAUGGUGGUUUUAGUGUGUCACUAUUAUUAUAAUUUUAUAAUGGCACUGUUAUUAUAAUGGGAUUUUGAUUAACAUCAUUAUGCAUUUUUUUAAAUUUAAGACUGUUUCAUUAGGGCAGAGUCCUAGAUUUGGAAUUAUUGGAUUAAAAUGGCAUGGAUAUUUUAAAGGUUCUUGCUAUUUAUUGCCAAAUUGCUUUCCUGAAGGCUCUUGCCAGUGCAGGCUCUCGUUAGUAGAGAGGAAAGUGUUCAUCUCAGUACUUCCUCACAGCAGCAGAUAUUCUUAUAUUUUUAAUGCUUUCUAAUUUGCUAGAUAGAAAAUGGCAUCUGUUAGUUGACUUGGAAUGUGUACCCCUGAGUCCACGUCCCCGGCUUUUAUCCCAGGGCUAUGGGUGGAGGAAUGUCCAUGGGAAACGCUAUCUGAGAUUUUGUCUUGCAGCUGACUUUGGUGUGUCUGCCAAGAAUCUGAAGACUCUACAGAAACGAGAUUCCUUCAUCGGCACGCCUUACUGGAUGGCCCCCGAGGUGGUCCUGUGUGAGACCAUGAAGGACACGCCCUACGACUACAAAGCCGACAUCUGGUCCCUGGGCAUCACGCUGAUUGAGAUGGCCCAGAUCGAGCCGCCACACCACGAGCUCAACCCCAUGCGGGUCCUGCUAAAGAUCGCCAAGUCGGACCCUCCCACGCUGCUCACGCCCUCUAAGUGGUCUGUAGAGUUCCGUGACUUCCUGAAGAUAGCCCUGGAUAAGAACCCAGAAACCCGACCCAGCGCCGCGCAGCUGCUGGAGCAUCCCUUUGUCAGCGGCAUCACCAGUAACAAGGCUCUGCGGGAGCUGGUGGCUGAGGCCAAGGCCGAGGUGAUGGAAGAGAUCGAAGACGGCCGGGAUGAGGGGGAAGAGGAGGACGCCGUG